UGUGUACUCCCUCCGUCUCAAAAUUCUUGUCUUAAAUUUGUCUAAAUAUGAAUCUAUCUAGUCAUGUUUUAGUAUUUAGAUACAUUCAUUUCUAGAUAAACCUAAGACAAGAAUUUUGGGACGGAGGGAUCACAUG
This 136-nucleotide microRNA precursor is filed under the name Hordeum vulgare. Its description in RNAcentral is "microRNA MIR1122". It matches the Rfam family "MIR1120/MIR1122 microRNA precursor family". The record is from RNAcentral. Lineage: Eukaryota; Viridiplantae; Streptophyta; Magnoliopsida; Poales; Poaceae.